UUUUUUUUUUUUUCUUAUUUGCCUGUGGCCUUUAGGACAGUCAGGUUUCCUCCAGCUGUGACAAACCAGGAAGUGGUGGACGGCAGUUGUUUCUGCUGCGCAGAACUGGUUCGGGGAAAGCCUGCAGUUCCUCCCUGUUGAGGAGGGGGCUCCUCCUACUAGGUUCACGCUAUAACUAUGACAGGGCCACAGGAAUGAAAGGAAGGCCGCUAGAGGAACAUUCGACAGGGACAGGAAGGCUCCUGCAGGGACACACACAGAGCAGGUGGGCCACCCUCUUGUGCUGUGGGGCCUUCCCAAGUAAGGAUGGAGAAUAAUUUUAUUUGCAGGCCUUGAGAGAGGCCCAUCCCCUCCACCGCCUCCGACUACCCAGCUGUCUCCUGACAUCAGAAAGAAGAAAGCCCUUGCCUCCGUCCUGUAGACAGAAGGAGGAUUUGGGGCUCUGGGCUCCCUGCAGGCAGCACCAGCACGCCCGCCCUGCUGUUGCAUUGCUUCAUAAAAAAGUGGGCAUGUGGAAAAUGGAGCAGGAACUGGCGCUUAGGCGGCAGUAUUUUCCAGAAUUCCCCAGAGCAGUCUUCCCACAACUCAUUAAUCUUUUGAAUUUGCAUUCAUAUUUGCUAAACAGCAAUGAAUCUGCAAAAGGUACCCAGAAAGGAGCCCUCUUUCAGAGCUGCUUUCCUCCCUGCUCUUGGCCGUGGUCACCUGCUCCACACCAUGUACCCUUCUCCACGGCCACACAGCAUCAAGGCCCCAGAGGCUUGUGAAUUUUCCCAGAGCGACACACUGCAACCCGAGGGUGAGGAGCCACAACCUCAAACCCUCCAAUAGGAUUUCCCCAUAUUCCACAACCCUGCACAGAACCUCACACAGUCACGAAGCCAUCUGGCUGCUCCCACCCUAGUUCUCUCUCCUCCCCACCCCAUGCGCUCCACCUGCCAACUUCCUUGUCUUCCUCUCACCUCUCUCAUCCAGAGUGUCUCUGUGCUGCUUCUUGUAACAUGAAGAGUUCCCUUACGUCAUAUCCUGAGUUCUUUCCUUCUUAGGCUUAAAAUAAACUCUACUCCCAGGCCUGCAAACUCAGCUUUCAAGAUGUAAAGUUAGCUUUUACAGUUAGAACUCCCUCUAUGUUUUUCCAGGUAACCACCCAUUCAUUCCUUAGAGGGACGAUCCUUCUGAUUGCAUAGAUUGGAAUCAAAAGCCUACAGUGUUUUAAAAAUUAAUUAUUUGAAAAAUACCUCAAAAAUGUUUGUUUCCUCCAUGGCACAAACAAUAGGGUUCACCCUAUACUACACGUUACAGGCCCUGCAGUCUAAUAGUGUGUUAACCAAUAGGUAGCUUUAGUUUUAAUAAUUUUUUCACACUGAUCAACAUUAACUGGAACGCUGGAAAAAAAAACUGACCACGAAGUGAGGCCUUAACCACCAGGGACGGCCUUGUCACACCAGGUGAGACCACCAGGUGAGAGCCCUGUCACCCCAGGCGAGCGUUUGACCACCAGGGACAAGUCCUGUCACCCCAGGUGAGAGCCCAUUGCACUAGGUGAGACUCCCUAAUCUGCAAAAGAUUUUGUGUCAGUGAUGAAGUAAUUAAACACCCUCGCCUGAGCGAUGGUAACACUCCGUGGAGGUUGAUCAUCUCCUUUGAAACGAAGCUGUCCUACCAUCUGCACCGUGCUUAUAGAAUUCAAUUCCAAAGUAUUUCACCACAGGGUGUCUUCUGUUUAUUUUUACUGCCGUUUUAUUUUCACUGCCAUUUAUUUCACUGCCAUUUUUUUUAAUGGCUGCAAUCUCCAAACAUCCACUUAGGAAACACUGGUCCUCUCAGAAAGACACAGCUGACAGCCUGAAGAGUGGUUUGUCUGAAGCCCUAAAAGUGAGCCAUCCAAAUACGCAUGUGUAUGUUUCUGUAAAAAUGGUGACUAGCUAAAAUUGAAAAGUAUUAGAGCCCCAAAACCUGUGUAUAUGUGUAUGAUGGAUGUCUGUAUAUACGUGUGUGUGUAUCAUUAUGUGUGUAUAUGUGUGUGCAUGUGUAUCAUUAUGUAUGUAUAUGUGUAUAUCUCAUUAUAUAUGUAUGUGUAUAACCAUGUAUGCAUAUCGUUAUGUACAUAUGCAUAUGUAUUAGAUGUAUACAUGUCAUUAUGUACAUAUGAUACCUGAACAUAUAAUGUGCAUAUGUGCAUAAUUAAGUAUGUAUAUGUGUAUGUGUAUAUCAUUAGGUAGAUACGUGUAUAUAUCAUUAUGUAUAUGUGUGUAUGUAUAUCAUGUAUAUAUGUAUACAUAUCAUUAUGUGUGUGUAUCAUUAUGUAUAUAUAUGUGUGUAUACACAUAUAUAAUGAAUCCAGGAAUUGCCUUUCUGAUAUAGAUGCACUGAAAGUUUUAUGCAUGUUAAAGCAAUUGGAAAUUGAAUCAGGACUUUUAUCUGAUUACCAAUAUAGGAAAUGAUUAUUGCUCAUUUAUGUUUUCUCAUGAGGUUCCUGUUUACAGGAUACGAUUCACUGGAAAAUAAUGCCAAGGGUUAUAAAAGCAAUUCACCGUGGAGUGUUGUUCUUUGUC
Molecule: long non-coding RNA, 2552 nt
Organism: Macaca fascicularis (crab-eating macaque)
Lineage: Eukaryota; Metazoa; Chordata; Mammalia; Primates; Cercopithecidae
Source: Ensembl